Molecule: small nuclear RNA, 182 nt
Filed under: Terrapene triunguis (Three-toed box turtle)
Lineage: Eukaryota; Metazoa; Chordata; Testudines; Emydidae
Description: Terrapene carolina triunguis (Three-toed box turtle) U4 spliceosomal RNA (ENSTMTG00000007344.1)
Rfam family: U4 spliceosomal RNA (bases 1-128)
About the family: U4 small nuclear RNA (U4 snRNA) is a component of the major U2-dependent spliceosome.
Source: Rfam by way of RNAcentral
GGUGUUGCACAGUGGCAGUAUCAUAGCUAAUGAGAUUAAUCCGAGGCGUGAUUAUUGCUAGUUGAAAACUUUUCCCUAAGUCCUUUAAACAUUGCCAGAGUGGCAUAAAGGGGACACAUAGCUCAAUGGAGAAUUGCCCCCUCCUUUUUUUAUUUUAAAUUAAUGUCUAGAACCUGAAGUUA